Molecule: ribosomal RNA, 402 nt
Filed under: uncultured bacterium
Lineage: Bacteria
Description: bacterial SSU rRNA
Rfam family: Bacterial small subunit ribosomal RNA
Source: RNAcentral
UCGGGAAUUUUGGGCAAUGGGCAAAAGCCUGACCCAGCAACGCCGCGUGAGGGAUGAAGUAUUUCGGUAUGUAAACCUCGAAAGAAUGGGAAGAAUAAAUGACGGUACCAUUUAUAAGCUCCGGCUAACUACGUGCCAGCAGCCGCGGUAAUACGUAGGGAGCAAGCGUUGUUCGGAUUUACUGGGCGUAAAGGGCGCGUAGGCGGCGCGGUAAGUCACUUGUGAAAUCUCUGAGCUUAACUCAGAACGGCCAAGUGAUACUGCUGUGCUAGAGUGCGGAAGAGGCAACCGGAAUUCUUGGUGUAGCGGUGAAAUGCGUAGAUAUCAAGAGGAACACCUGAGGCGAAGGCGGGUUGCUGGGCCGACACUGACGCUGAUGCGCGAAAGCCAGGGGAGCAAACG